GCGAGCGCGGGGAACACCCCCUCUUUCCCCGCGGAGCGCCUGUUAUGGCGGCGCACGGUGUGAUGGAGAGGAGAUUUUCAUUGGUGCCAAGUACAUUGUACAUUAAGCACCUCAUGGAAGGACCAUCCCAAGUAGAAGAAUACUGGGUACACACAAGUGGAUUUUCCUGAAAGUUGUAGUGGCAUGAACAAUUUCUAGUAUUGACAAUGUGACCUGUCCUGAAGAAAGAUUUCCUCGCAACAGGAACUAAAACAG
Long non-coding RNA from Melospiza georgiana, 255 nucleotides. RefSeq lists it as uncharacterized. The record is from RefSeq and is a predicted model, not a curated record. The transcript has 4 exons. NCBI's taxonomy places the organism in Eukaryota, Metazoa, Chordata, Aves, Passeriformes, Passerellidae.